This 369-nucleotide ribosomal RNA is filed under the name Triticum aestivum (bread wheat). RNAcentral describes it as "partial small subunit ribosomal RNA". The record is from RNAcentral. Lineage: Eukaryota; Viridiplantae; Streptophyta; Magnoliopsida; Poales; Poaceae.
AAGGUGUGUAGGUUGCUGAAAUCUUUAUAUGGCCUGAAGCAAGCACCUAAGCAAUGGCAUGAUAAGUUUAAUACAACUCUGACAUCUGUUGGUUUCGUUGUUAAUGAGGCUGACAAAUGUGUAUACUAUCGCCAUGGUGGGGGCGAAGGAGUUAUACUGUGCUUGUAUGUUGAUGACAUACUGAUAUUCGGAACCAACCUCAAAGUCAUUGAGGAGGUCAAGUCGUUUUUGUCUCAGAACUUUGAGAUGAAAGACCUUGGUGUGGCUGAUGUUAUCUUGAACAUCAAGCUACUGAGAGAUAAUGAGGGUGGGAUUACACUUCUGCAAUCCCACUAUGUUGAGAAGGUGUUGAGUCGUUUUGGAUAUUCG